GUCCAGACUCCUACGGGAGGCAGCAGUGGGGAAUAUUGGGCAAUGGGCGCAAGCCUGACCCAGCAACGCCGCGUGAAGGAAGAAGGCUUUCGGGUUGUAAACUUCUUUUCUCAGGGACGAAGAAAGUGACGGUACCUGAGGAAUAAGCCACGGCUAAAUACGUGCCAGCAGCCGCGGUAAUACGUAUGGUGCGAGCGUUGUCCGGAUUUACUGGGCGUGAAGGGGGCGCAGGCGGCGCGCCAAGCCCGAUGUGAAAGCCCGGGGCUCAACCCCGGGACUGCAUUGGGAACUGGCGUGCUGGAGUGCCGGAGGGGCAGGCGGAAUUCCUGGUGUAGCGGUGAAAUGCGUAGAUAUCAGGAGGAACACCGGUGGCGAAGGCGGCCUGCUGGACGGAUACUGACGCUGAGGCCCGAAAGCGUGGGGAGCGAACAGGAUUAGAUACCCCAGUACGG
Molecule: ribosomal RNA, 452 nt
Filed under: uncultured bacterium
Lineage: Bacteria
Description: bacterial SSU rRNA
Rfam family: Bacterial small subunit ribosomal RNA
Source: RNAcentral